Molecule: long non-coding RNA, 469 nt
Organism: Macadamia integrifolia
Lineage: Eukaryota; Viridiplantae; Streptophyta; Magnoliopsida; Proteales; Proteaceae
Exons: 3
Source: RefSeq, a predicted model, not a curated record
GUUUACCACUCGACGAAGAAAAACGGACAAAUUUCUUGACGGAUUUCCUGAGGGGGGAGUGCGGACGACUCCAAGAUCUCUCUUUCUUCUAUUUCGCUACGGUUUCGCUUUAUUUGCAGUUCCGACAUCCAACGCGGAGUCGGUCUUCUGUGGAGCUCCAGUCUGAUUCGAUUCUUCAUCCCAACAUUAAGACUUGAGACUCAUAGUCGAAAAUCAAUUUCGGGUUUUCGAUCGCUGUUGUCCAGAAUUGAUCAUAGAUUUUGAUUUGCAGAGUAGGAAGUUCUAAUCAGGGAAUCAAUCAUGUUUACGCGGAUUUUUGGUAAGCCUAAACAGGAAACCAAUGCCGUAGCAACGUUAGACAAGUUGAAUGAGACACUUGAAAUGCUAGAGAAAAAGGAGAAAGUCCUAUUGAAGAAGGCUGCUACUGAGGUUGAAAAGGCAAAGGAAUUCACUAGAGCGAAGAAUAAAA